Molecule: long non-coding RNA, 1298 nt
Filed under: Bos grunniens (domestic yak)
Lineage: Eukaryota; Metazoa; Chordata; Mammalia; Artiodactyla; Bovidae
Description: lncRNA (ENSBGRG00000018989.1)
Source: RNAcentral
CAUUGGGAUGGCCAGGUGGUGAAGAUCUGGUGGGAUGACAGUUGGGCAGUUGGAAUGAGGCAGCCGUGAGGAAUCUGAGAGACCGUUGGAAGGCAGCCCUGACCUGGGUGGUGUGAUGUGGGUGACAGAGGCAAAGUGGGGGGGCAGGAGCAAUAUUUCAGAAGCAGGAAGAAAGGAUAAGUAACAGAUCCCUGAGCAGAAAGAGGGAAAUUUGGAGGGGAUCUGAUCUGAGAGAGAGUUGAAUCAGCCUUCGGGGUAUGUGAGGCAGAGAGAGGCCUUCAGGGGACCAAAUUCUGCUUUUCGGCAGCUCACAACCGGUACAGGAGACAGGCAAGCUGGCCGGAAGCUAGUCUGCAAUGCUGAAUGAAAGAAAGUCACUGAUCUGCUGCAAGAUCACAUUGUUCAAUGGCAGAGGAAGAGGUCUGAAGACUCGCAGCUCAAGUGCAGGGGAGGAAAUUGACAGGAGGCUGAGGCUUAGCCGAGCACAGAUAAAGGAAAGGCUGUGGCAAGCACCCUGCAUUUCAAAGGUGUGAGCUGAGGUAUACGGGAGAGAUGGCGGGACAGCCCGGACAGGCAUCUUGCCCACACAGUUUGAGCUGUCCUUUUGUGAGACUGUAAGGAGCUGCUGGGGAGAGACGUCAGCCCGAGAGGACUUGAGUCCACUUCUGAUCACAGCCCUAGUGAUGAUAAAGGCAGAGGAGCGCCUGGAGGGUCCCACAGGCCAGCAGCUGAGUUCAGCGAGAGACGGCCUGUUUAUGGGAGCAUCUGACACAUUCAUGGCAGCCCUGAGGGAAGAGGGGGAGUCUGCCCAUGGCUCUGCAGGAGGAGAUGGGCUGGGGGAAGCAGGGUGACCGUAGGUGCUUGGCUUAGCUUCACACUGGCAGGUGCUGCCCAGGGACGCUCGGUCCACAUUUGUGCACGUGGACCAUCUGUAACGCAACGCUCGCACCCACUGUGUCCAGGGCCCCUGAUCGGCCAGAACAUGUGUCCCCCAAGGUCAUCCUUCAGUGCUCACAGCCUCAUGGAAACGGGCCCUUGGAUGCCCAUUUUGUAAAAGAGGAAAGAGCAGGUUGGAGAGGUUAAGUGAUGUUUUCCUAAGAUCACACAGCUUGGGUGUGGUUAAAUCCAGUCUCCGUUCAUCCUCAUCUCCCUUCCUCUCCAGCUGACAUGUUGCAGUUGUUACAAGCAGCCUUGGGCAUACACCACAGCUUCCCUCCUUGGGCUCCCCUAGCAAGAGGCAACCCUGGUCAAGAUCAGCUCUUAGCCUGCUCCCCUCUCCAGGAGUAUAGCUGGAGGUG